Long non-coding RNA from Leucoraja erinaceus (little skate), 2459 nucleotides. RefSeq lists it as uncharacterized. Lineage: Eukaryota; Metazoa; Chordata; Chondrichthyes; Rajiformes; Rajidae. The transcript has 3 exons. The record is from RefSeq and is a predicted model, not a curated record.
GUGGAGCCCAUUGUUGUCUGUGGGGAAGGUACACAAAAAUGCUGGAGAAACUCAGCGGGUGCAGCAGCAUCUAUGGAGCGAAGGAAAUAGGCGACGUUUCGGGCCGAAACCCUUCUUCAGACCUUCUUCCGCCUGCCCGUUGUCUGUGGGGAAGUUGAUAACGAGUUAUGCAGGCAGUGAAACUGAACAGGACAACAGUCAAACUAGUUCGACGACUAGGGUGGGGGAGGGAUGGAGAGAGAGGGGAUGUAAGGGCUACUUUUAAAUGUCUCUGGCAGUGGUCAUUCCUGUUGGGUGUUCUGGUUUCCUCCCACACUCCAAAGACUUUAAGCCAGUGAAUCCUCAAGGCGAUGGUGGUUCCUUGAUCUGUACACGUAAUCAGCACUAUAUCUUGCUGGAGACCGACUUCGGGAGCUUCAACCGCGGGAGCCUGUGGACUUUAACAUCGUGGAGUUCGCGGUCUUUGGUUAGAGACCAACUUUGGGAGCUCCAGGCCACAGAAGCUUCAACCGCCCGACACGGAACUUCAACCGCCCGACACGGAACUUCAACCGCCCGACAUGGGAGCUUCGAUCGCUCUGACGUGGGGGCUUCGACCCCCCCCGACUGCGGAUGGUUCGACUGUCCCGACUGUGGGAGAACAGAGGAAGAAGAUUAGAAUUUAUUGCCUUCCAUCACAGUGAAGAAUGUGGGGAAUCCACUGUGGUGGAUGUUUAUGUUAACUUUUAUGUAGUCGUGUGUCUUGUUGCUUUUUUUAAUAUGGCUGUAUGGUAAUUCAGGUUUCACUCUACCUUAAUUGGCACAGGUGACAAUAAACUGACCUUUGAACCGCUACACUCUGCACACUGUUUCUUCUCUCUUCGCACUAACUAUUGUCCUCCUUAGGGUUUCGAUUGCACUCAUGUCUGGAGACUUUUUUUUGAAAGGGGUAGCAAACAAUACAAAGAUUUUCACUGUAUCUCGGUACAUGUGACAAUAAUAGACUAAUACCAAUUCCAAAACCAGGAUUGGCAGCAGGUAAGUACAGUUUUGCUCGUCGGACACCGGAAGACGUGUGGAUUCCAAGGGAAAGGGUGCGGGGUGGGGCAGAGAUCGUUCUAGAAGCCUCGCACCAGAGGCAGCUUCAAAGCCAAAUUGUAGAGAUUCCCUAAGGAAGAGGCAGCAGCUCAGUCUACCCUCUGGGUGUUGACCAAGGAGACCUUAUAUGGCCAAAUGUGGCAGGCGGGGCCAGCAUAGGUGGGGCAACUUUGUUCAUGUGGACAGGGUAGACUUAAGGCCUGUUUUCGUGCUCUGGGAGUUCUUGAUUCUUCAUCCAUCCAGUCUACCUGGAGGAACUUGCCAUGAAGUAAAGCUCAUGGAAACUGAACAGCAUCUUGGAUAUUUGCUUUUUAUUUCUUAUUGUUUAUGUAAGGAUGCAUAUAACACAUAGAGUAGAAGCAAGGAACUACAAAUGCUGGUUUGCCAAGGAAAGACACAAAUUAUUGGAGUAACUGUGAGGGUCAUGUUCAUAACUUCAUGUGAUAGGAGCAGAAUUAGGUCAUUCAGCCUAUCAAGUCUCCCACUCAAUCAUGGCAACAUCUCUGGAGAACAUGGACAGGAGACGAUUUGUUAGGUCCAGUCUGAAGAAACCGACUUGAAACGUCACCUAUUUCCUUUUCUCCAUAGAUGCUGCCUGACACGCUGACCUACCCCUUCGUUCCAGACUCUCCCAAUACUGGAAACAUCCUUCCCACGCCCUCUCUAUCUACUGUAGGUCUAUCAUGCAGUAUGUUUCAAUGAGGUCCACCCUCAUCCUUUUAAACUCCAACGGGUACAGGCCCAGAGCCAUCAAACCCUCCUCAUACAUGAACUCAACCAUCCACAGGAUCAUUCCUGUAACCCUCCUCUGGAUCCUCUCCAAAACUAGCACUUUGAUCCUCCUACAUGGUGCCCACAACAGCUCACAGUAUUCCAAAUGUGGCCUCACCAGCGCCUUAUAAAGCCUCAGCAUUACAUCCCUGCUUUUAUAUUCUACCCCCCUCGAAAUGAAUGCUAACAUUGCAUUUGCCUUCCAUACCACCGACUCAACCUGCAAAUUAACCUUUUGGGAGACCCUUUGCAGCUCCAAUUUCUGUACCCGCUCCCUAUUUAGAAAGUAGCCCAGGCCUUUAUUCCUCCCUGCUCAAUCACCAGAGCACGUGGGCUGGACUCCAUGAGCCCUACUGUAGCCGGUUUAGGAAGUCCCAGAGUGUGUGUCCAAGCCUCUGGGCUGACAAUAACAUAUUAUCAUCUAUCACCCGCACUUAAAUCAGUGCAGCCUCCCUUGCCUCGUAAAUUAAGCAGAGUGACUCAUACACAAUUUGUUUUCGAUGUGCAAAUAGGGUGAGAUUGCUGCGUGUUGGUGGGUAAACAUAUCCCCAACUGACUGGAGCCAGAGUGCGGGUGAGUGCAUCAGUUCAAUCUCCAGUGCUGUUUCGGAA